CUACUUAACUGGCAGGGGAGAUAUCAUGAUCACAAACGUGGUUUCCCCACGGCGACGCUUAUCCAUUGCACUCCGGAUGUGCUGACCCCUGUGAUUUCCCCAAAUGUGGGAAACUCGACUGCAUAAUUUGUGGUAGUGGGGGACUGUGUUCGCACUUUCUUCUG
Callithrix jacchus (white-tufted-ear marmoset) is the source of this 164-nucleotide small nuclear RNA. Its record names the gene U1. It matches the Rfam family "U1 spliceosomal RNA". From Rfam's summary of the family: U1 is a small nuclear RNA (snRNA) component of the spliceosome (involved in pre-mRNA splicing). Lineage: Eukaryota; Metazoa; Chordata; Mammalia; Primates; Cebidae. The record is from Ensembl.